CCAAUGGCGUAUAUUAAAGUUGUUGCAGUUAAAAAGCUCGUAGUUGAAUUUCGGGGUUAGUAGGCUGGUUGUGCCACUGGUAUGUACUGGUCUUACUGACUUCUCCUUUCUGAAGAACUGUAAUGCCAUUAAUUUGGUGUUGCAGGGAAUCAGGACUGUUACUUUGAAAAAAUUAGAGUGUUUAAGGCAGGCUAACGCUUGAAUACAUUAGCAUGGAACAAUGAAAUAGGACGUUCGAUCCUAUUUUGUUGGUUUCUAGGAUUGACGUAAUGAUUAAUAGGGAUAGUUGGGGGCAUUAGUAUUCAAUUGUUAGAGGUGAAAUUCUUGGAUUUAUUGAAGACUAACUACUGCGAAAGCAUUUGCCAAGGAUGUUUUCAUUAAUCAAGAACGAAAGUUAGGGGAUCGAAGACGAUCAGAUACCGUCGUAGUCUUAACCAUAAACUAUGCCGACUAGGGAUCGGAUGAUGUUAAUUUUUUAAUGACUCAUUCGGCGCCUUACG
RNAcentral lists this ribosomal RNA (500 nucleotides) under uncultured Glomeromycotina. RNAcentral describes it as "partial small subunit ribosomal RNA". It matches the Rfam family "Eukaryotic small subunit ribosomal RNA", at positions 591 to 1092 of the family's 1831-position model. The record is from RNAcentral. Lineage: Eukaryota; Fungi; Glomeromycota.